GAUGAACGCUGGCGGCGUGCUUAACACAUGCAAGUCGAACGAUGAAGCCCAGCUUGCUGGGUGGAUUAGUGGCGAACGGGUGAGUAACACGUGAGUAACCUGCCCUUAACUCUGGGAUAAGCCUGGGAAACUGGGUCUAAUACCGGAUAGGAGCGUCCACCGCAUGGUGGGUGUUGGAAAGAUUUAUCGGUUUUGGAUGGACUCGCGGCCUAUCAGCUUGUUGGUGAGGUAAUGGCUCACCAAGGCGACGACGGGUAGCCGGCCUGAGAGGGUGACCGGCCACACUGGGACUGAGACACGGCCCAGACUCCUACGGGAGGCAGCAGUGGGGAAUAUUGCACAAUGGGCGCAAGCCUGAUGCAGCGACGCCGCGUGAGGGAUGACGGCCUUCGGGUUGUAAACCUCUUUCAGUAGGGGAGAAGCGAAAGUGACGGUACCUGCAGAAGAAGCACCGGCUAACUACGUG
Molecule: ribosomal RNA, 466 nt
Filed under: uncultured bacterium
Lineage: Bacteria
Description: partial 16S ribosomal RNA
Rfam family: Bacterial small subunit ribosomal RNA
Source: RNAcentral